CCCUCCAGUGAAUGGGAAGAUGGAGAUGGAUGUGGAGGGAGUUUCUCCGCGCCCGGAGCCCAUCCCCCGCUCCCAGGGGGCUGGCGGAGCCUGCCAGGCGCCGCCACCGCCGCCCCAGCCCCAGCCGCAGCCCCAGCGGCCGCCGGCUCAGGAUGAAGUGCCGGGCGGCGAGAGUGCGGGCGCCGAGGACAGCGACGAUCCCGAGGCGAGACCCAGCGGCGAGAGAGGGGAGAGCAAGUAUUUCAGUGACAGAACCCACUCAGGAGAGUUGGGGCCAGGCUGGCCGAGGUUGUCAAGGAGCUGAGUUCUGAGUUCAGGUGCCCACGUGGCAGUGGAAUGAUGUCUCCUGGCCCUUCAGACCUUGGAGACGUCUGGGAGGCCCUAGAAAUCACCUCGAGUCUCCAGUCCAGGACACAACUGCCUGGGAUCCCAGGGAAAGGCGGCAGAGAGCGUGUGGCCUGCAUGGUGACGGACUCCAACGUGAUCACAGCAGAAGCCACCAAAUUCCAAACCACUGGCAGUUCCAGAGCACAAACCCCCUUCUGAAGAGGAGGCAGGAAGUGAGCCGGGAGGAGGCCCACUGCUUGGCAAGGAAGCCAAUGGACCACCUUCUCAGGUCUCCUGGAAGCUGCUGAGACACAGUGAUGAAGGUGUCCUCACACGCAGGAUGGAAUCAAGUGCUUAGAGUGGGCUGAAGUCCUGGGACCCCAGUUCUGAGUCAGACUGCUCUCUGUCUCUCUCUCUCUCUCUCUUUCUCCUCCCUCUCUCCCCAGCUCAUCUCUUUCUAGCUGUAUUUUUUUCUUGGCUCAGGGAAUUGUAACCAGGAAUUGCUCUACUAGGUAUAAUUUUGUUCCCAAACUAGGCUUGUUUAUGAACACGUUACUGGGAAUUUAGGAGGGUCUUGCCAGUUGCCACACAUUACCUGAUGAAUCCAAGGUCUACUCUUGGAGUUCUUAAGUCCUGUUAAUAAAAAUAAUAUGGCAACUGACUCAAAAGAAGUUCAAGGACAUUUAUUAUUAGCCUUAAAAAAAAAAAGCAGGAGAAGGGAAACUGUAAAUCACAGCAGCUGCCCAGAGGAAGAAGAUGGAGAGGGGAACGGAGCCUCACAGCUUAAGUUAAGCCAACAUGAAGGUCAGCCAUAUGGCAGAAAGCAGCCACAUGAUGGUCAGGGCAGCUCAGAAGAAAGAGUGAAGGCCAGAGCACUUCUUCCAGAAAGCUGCUUAGGAAAGAGAUGGAAGGGAAAGGAGAACUGUGCCUCUCUGGGUCCUUCAGAAAGGUGGGCAUCUCAGAGUGUCAUGGCUACAGUACAGCCUUGUGUGGGGCUGCACAAGCGUGGGGAUUCUGGAGAGGGAAAGCCCAUUAUCCCAUUAGAGGGGCAAUUAUUCCUCUUAUGUCUUUAGAAGCCUUAAGGUGGCCUGGCCUUAUCCGGGGAUGGUCCCUCCACCAGGUGAUCGACCUGCCCAACUGGAAUGUUGGGUAUCCUCCCAGGCCAUUCUCUGGAUAUGAGGAAAAUAGUUUUCUUUUAAUGGGCCUUUCUGCUAUGGCAACAGAAUCUGUCCUUAGAGGUUUCCUCCCAAGCUAAGUAGUGAAUGAGGUUAUGUUGUUGGACUAGCACAGUCCUUGUGUUUAGGUUAGAGAUGCAUGUCCUAUCUGUUUCCUCAAGUUUGGAUUCAGGUGCUGGCAUGUAGGAGCCACGUUGCUUAGCUACCAAAGACUUCUUCAACUGUGGCACCUGCUGCAGUUAAAACACAGUCAGGCAUGUGUCACACCUGGGGCUCCUGUGAGUCGUUUGAUGUGAAUGAUGGACUACAAAGGAACACGCACCUCACAGUUUGAGAUUUAGGGCUCCUCUGAUCCUGCAGAUAGAACAGUAGACAAUGUUUUAAAUAUCAAAAGUGACUUUCGGAUACUUUGAAUCUUUUGGGCAAUUUUGGGUGGUUUUGCAAUUCCAUUUUCUAAGGUCAAAUAGGAACAGGCGAUCAGUGACCUUACCAGCUGCAUCGUUCAGGCCUCUGUGGAGGUGCCUACCUGGGAAGAGGUGAAGCAAAGGCAUGUUUCCACAGUGGGGUUUGCCAGCGGGGACCUUUCUGUGUCUGUCCUGUAACUUUGUCUGCCUUGCAAUAAAGUAUCUUCGCUGA
Molecule: long non-coding RNA, 2138 nt
Organism: Psammomys obesus (fat sand rat)
Lineage: Eukaryota; Metazoa; Chordata; Mammalia; Rodentia; Muridae
Exons: 4
Source: RefSeq, a predicted model, not a curated record